Molecule: ribosomal RNA, 19 nt
Filed under: Poecilia reticulata (guppy)
Lineage: Eukaryota; Metazoa; Chordata; Actinopteri; Cyprinodontiformes; Poeciliidae
Also listed under: 1 other name
Description: partial 16S ribosomal RNA
Source: RNAcentral
AACCCAACAGCUAGCCUCA